GGCACUGUGGCGGAGUGGUUAACGCGACAGAUUCGAAUGACGUAAGAGCCUCUUAUCUGUUCCACUUUGUGGGCGCAUGUUCGAGUCAUGCCAGUGUCG
This is a non-coding RNA of Mycena crocata, 99 nucleotides long. NCBI's taxonomy places the organism in Eukaryota, Fungi, Basidiomycota, Agaricomycetes, Agaricales, Mycenaceae. The record is from the annotation of a GenBank genome assembly.